AUGUCGUGGAGCUGCAAUGGAACACCGCCGGUGAUCAUCGAUGCUAUGAUGGAGCAUGGUUUGCCUGCCCGGUGCUGUGGUGGAGCUGCAAUGGAACAUCGCCGGUGGUCAUCGAUGCUGCGAUGGAGCAUGGCUUGGCCGCUCGGUGCCGUGGAGCUGCAAUGGAACAUCGCCGGGGGUCGUCACUGCUGCAAUGGAGCCGCUGGGCCGUUGACAAUGUCACGAGUGCUACAUAGUAGCGGUGGCGAGGGCUAUGUUGCAACACUGGUGGUCAUCGAUGUUGUGAUGGAGCAUGGCUUGGUUGCCCGGUGA
This 312-nucleotide ribosomal RNA is filed under the name Triticum aestivum (bread wheat). RNAcentral describes it as "partial small subunit ribosomal RNA". Lineage: Eukaryota; Viridiplantae; Streptophyta; Magnoliopsida; Poales; Poaceae. The record is from RNAcentral.